UACAGAGGUCUCAAGCGUUGUUCGGAUUCAUUGGGCGUAAAGGGUGCGUAGGUGGCGCCGUAAGUCAGGUGUGAAAUUUCGGAGCUUAACUCCGAAACUGCAUUCGAUACUGCGGUGCUUGAGGACUGGAGAGGAGACUGGAAUUCAUGGUGUAGCAGUGAAAUGCGUAGAGAUCAUGAGGAAGACCAGUGGCGAAGGCGGGUCUCUGGACAAGUUCCUGACACUGAGACACGAAGGCCAGGGGAGCAAACGGG
This 254-nucleotide ribosomal RNA is filed under the name uncultured bacterium. RNAcentral's name for it is "partial 16S ribosomal RNA". It matches the Rfam family "Bacterial small subunit ribosomal RNA", at positions 524 to 776 of the family's 1533-position model. The record is from RNAcentral.